UAGGGAAUCUUCCACAAUGGACGCAAGUCUGAUGGAGCAACGCCGCGUGAGUGAAGAAGGUUUUCGGAUCGUAAAGCUCUGUUGUUGGUGAAGAAGGAUAGAGGUAGUAACUGGCCUUUAUUUGACGGUAAUCAACCAGAAAGUCACGGCUAACUACGUGCCAGCAGCCGCGGUAAUACGUAGGUGGCAAGCGUUGUCCGGAUUUAUCGGGCGUAAAGCGAGCGCAGGCGGAAGAAUAAGUCUGAUGUGAAAGCCCUCGGCUUAACCGAGGAACUGCAUCGGAAACUGUUUUUCUUGAGUGCAGAAGAGGAGAGUGGAAUUCCAUGUGUAGCGGUGGAAUGCGUAGAUAUAUGGAAGAACACCAGUGGCGAAGGCGACUCUCUGGUCUGCAACUGACGCUGAGGCUCGAAAGCAUGGGUAGCGAACAGG
This 429-nucleotide ribosomal RNA is filed under the name bacterium. Its description in RNAcentral is "partial 16S ribosomal RNA". It matches the Rfam family "Bacterial small subunit ribosomal RNA", at positions 355 to 776 of the family's 1533-position model. The record is from RNAcentral.